Molecule: transfer RNA, 72 nt
Filed under: Dipodomys ordii (Ord's kangaroo rat)
Lineage: Eukaryota; Metazoa; Chordata; Mammalia; Rodentia; Heteromyidae
Rfam family: tRNA
About the family: Transfer RNA (tRNA) molecules are approximately 80 nucleotides in length. Their secondary structure includes four short double-helical elements and three loops (D, anti-codon, and T loops). Further hydrogen bonds mediate the characteristic L-shaped molecular structure. tRNAs have two regions of fundamental functional importance: the anti-codon, which is responsible for specific mRNA codon recognition, and the 3' end, to which the tRNAs corresponding amino acid is attached (by aminoacyl-tRNA synthetases). tRNAs cope with the degeneracy of the genetic code in two manners: having more than one tRNA (with a specific anti-codon) for a particular amino acid; and 'wobble' base-pairing, i.e. permitting non-standard base-pairing at the 3rd anti-codon position.
Source: Rfam by way of RNAcentral
GGGAAGGUGGCUCAGUGGUAGAGAGCUUGCCUUGCAUGCAUGAGGCCCUGGGUUCAAUUCCUCAGCAACCCA